GGUUAGUCCGCAACGAGCGCAACCCCUAUUGUUAGUUGCCAUCAUUCAGUUGGGCACUCUAGCGAGACUGCCGGUAAUAAACCGGAGGAAGGUGGGGAUGACGUCAAAUCAUCAUGCCCCUUAUGACCUGGGCUACACACGUGCUAUAAUGGUUGGUACAACGAGUUGCGAGUCGGUGACGGCGAGCUAAUCUCUUAAAGCUAAUCUCAGUUCGGAUUGUAGACUGCAACUCGCCUACAUGAAGUCGGAAUCGCUAGUAAUCGCGGAUCAGCACGCCGCGGUGAAUACGUUCCCGGGCCUU
RNAcentral lists this ribosomal RNA (301 nucleotides) under uncultured Streptococcus sp. Its description in RNAcentral is "bacterial SSU rRNA". It matches the Rfam family "Bacterial small subunit ribosomal RNA", at positions 1078 to 1382 of the family's 1533-position model. The record is from RNAcentral. Lineage: Bacteria; Bacillati; Bacillota; Bacilli; Lactobacillales; Streptococcaceae.